AAGUCGUAACAAGGUUUCCGUAGGUGAACCUGCGGAAGGAUCAUUACAGUAUUCUUUUGCCUGCGCUUAAUUGCGCGGCGAAAAACCUUACACACUAUGUUUUUCUAAUUUGAAACUUUUGCUUUGGUCUGCCCUUAGAAAUAAGUUGGGCCAAAGGUUUUACACCCAAAACUUUCAAUAUUUUAUAUUGGAAUUGUUAUUUUUAAUUAUUUGUCAAUUUGUUGAUUAAAUUCAGAAAUCUCAAA
Molecule: unclassified non-coding RNA, 245 nt
Filed under: plant metagenome
Description: partial contains small subunit ribosomal RNA and internal transcribed spacer 1
Rfam family: Eukaryotic small subunit ribosomal RNA (bases 1-46)
Source: RNAcentral